This 199-nucleotide long non-coding RNA is filed under the name Phoenix dactylifera (date palm). RNAcentral's name for it is "long non-coding RNA (PDAC_LNC019270)". Lineage: Eukaryota; Viridiplantae; Streptophyta; Magnoliopsida; Arecales; Arecaceae. The record is from RNAcentral.
UUGUUGGCAAUAAAUUUGAAGCAGAAAUAAAACUAAACUAUUCUACUUCAAUAAAUAAUAGGCAGUAAUAGGCUAAAAUAAAAAUUAAAAGUAAAAGUAGGAAAAAUGGAACCCGAGAUGCUGAGGCGUGGUAUGUUGGUCACUUUUCUUGAAGUAGAUUUCGCCGCCUUACAGUGCACUAGGCUUGGAUGGCGUUCUA